RNAcentral lists this transfer RNA (69 nucleotides) under Batocera lineolata. RNAcentral describes it as "tRNA-Gln". The record is from RNAcentral. Lineage: Eukaryota; Metazoa; Arthropoda; Insecta; Coleoptera; Cerambycidae.
UGUGUUUUAGUAUAUGACGUAUGUAAGUUUUUGAUACUUAGGGAAAUAGUUUAAUUCUGUUAGACACAA